UGAUGCUUUUGCCUUGUUCAAGUUUGUUUGCCGGUUGACAUUACUAUAUUACAAACAUCUUCUCACUACAUAAACUACAAACAUGAACAUUGAGUGAACAAAUACAUAUGGUCAUUCCGUAAGGUCACAGUUGAGAGGGAUACCCUCCAACCCAAAUAAAACGAGUUUAUCAAGACGAAAACAACAGAAAGAUUUGUCGACAGUAAUUUACUAAGACGUAUAAACUGUCACGUCCCAAUUCCGACGUACAUCCAAAAUCAAUACGUGAAGUCACCAAUUACAUGUAUAUCUAACAUACCCCGCUUUCGGGAUAUGGCAGAAUAUGGCAAAGCAUAACUCGAGAAUCGAAUCUCAUAGUAAUUUUCCAUAUACUUUAUGGAUGUAUCUAACCUCCUCGUUAGACUGCCUACGUACUCUAAAAAGGGAUCAAGCUAUUUGUAGUUCACCCCUCGCUAUAAUUCGACAUAUAUCACAGUCCGUUCAAGCCGAAAGGCAUAACAUUCCUCAAUCAAUCAUUUGGACAAGCAUGAAUUAUUGGAUUCAAGCUACAUAACGAACCCACAUGACAAUCAAGGUUUCUAUUUCAUCCAUCAUAUAAAUCACUACGUUUCAACAUAAAAUCACAAUUCAUAGCACGUAAUAUAUCAAAGAAUCAACAAAGCACAAUAGUAUCCUCUAGUCACAUUGAUCAACUAAUCUAAUUGUAUUAAUAACAAUCAUAUCCAACGAUACUCCACAAUCGCGUCAAUUAAUCAAAUCCAUGAAUCAAAGAUGCACGAUAUUAACGUCUAACUACGUUAAUCAAUCAAUGAAAUAACAUAUCAUUUCAUGAAUUUAAUUAAAGAACUCUACAUAAUUCCCCACUUGGAUUAUAAGUAAUAACAUGGUGAAUUUCAUUUAUAUUCACAAGGUCUACUGUGGGUAUUCCCCAUUCACUUGAAUCUAGGGUCGGACUAACCUUAUGAAAAUGAGUAAGAGCAAGGAUUCCAGACCACUCAACGAAAUCAAACUAAAAUAUAA
Molecule: long non-coding RNA, 1020 nt
Filed under: Malus domestica (apple)
Lineage: Eukaryota; Viridiplantae; Streptophyta; Magnoliopsida; Rosales; Rosaceae
Description: long non-coding RNA (MDOM_LNC004051)
Source: RNAcentral